AAAGUUUCAACAACGGAUCUCUUGGUUCUCGCAUCGAUGAAGAACGCAGCAAAGCGCGAUAGUUAGUGUGAAUUGCAGACGUGAAUCAUUGAGUUUUUGAACGCACAUUGCACCUUCUGGUAUUCCGGGAGGUAUACUUGUGCGAGCGUCAUUUCAUCUUCAUAAAG
RNAcentral lists this ribosomal RNA (167 nucleotides) under Wickerhamiella infanticola. RNAcentral's name for it is "5.8S ribosomal RNA". The stretch from base 2 to 151 matches the Rfam family "5.8S ribosomal RNA". Rfam says of the family: 5.8S ribosomal RNA (5.8S rRNA) is a component of the large subunit of the eukaryotic ribosome. Lineage: Eukaryota; Fungi; Ascomycota; Dipodascomycetes; Dipodascales; Trichomonascaceae. The record is from RNAcentral.